GAUAAUAAUUUUGCUAUAUUAAACUUUCAUUUUUAUUACGUUUCAAAUUACUUUAAAUGGUUCAAUGUUCUUUAAUUUGGAUUUACGUAUCGUACACGUAUGUUGGAAAUAACAUGUUCGGACAGCCACUGUAGAUAAGUUUGAAAAACCGUAACAAAUAAUCGAUAGUCCUGACCGGGGAUAGCAAUUGAUCUGACCAAUGGGGCAUCAAAAUAGGAGGGUGAAAGGCGAUUCUUAUGUGCACCUCCUCGAAUCCGUUUCCAGAAACCAGUAUAUUGUCCAAACAACCCCUGGCUAGUUUUGAUGUUCUGACAGCAUUCUUAAUGACCGAUCGGAUACAAAAUGGCGUACAAAUAUAAUUUUGUAGGUGAUUGAGCUGUUCAAUACCUUGUUUGAAAAGUGCUAUAACGCAAAUUAACUAAAACAUUAAAACAUCUUAUCAGAAUAUAAUGUACAGUAAUCCAUACGAAUUUAUGUAACGAAUCAAUUUGUAAAAAGAUUAUAGAUCUAUUACUACUAUGAGGAAGAAAAUAAUUACCUAAGCCAUCUAACGAAGAUAGCGUCAACUAUUUAAUAGGUACGAAAUUGCCGAGAUGGCGCGAUCACCGCAUUGCACGUGACGACUCAGCUGGCAAGUAACGAUAAAUAGAAGACACUAAUGUUUCCAGUUGCAAGUUACAAGCUAUCCUUUAUGAAGCACGUAUACCUUAGUGAUAUUUGCCACUUUUACAAGUCAAAUCGUAAAUUGUUUUUGUUUAAUAAAGUUUAUGUUUAUAGAAUAUAAAAAUUAAUUCGAGAACUGAAAAAAAGGCUUCUU
Bombus terrestris (buff-tailed bumblebee) is the source of this 817-nucleotide long non-coding RNA. RefSeq lists it as uncharacterized. The transcript is spliced from 3 exons. The record is from RefSeq and is a predicted model, not a curated record. NCBI's taxonomy places the organism in Eukaryota, Metazoa, Arthropoda, Insecta, Hymenoptera, Apidae.